GACAGAGGGUGCAAACGUUGUUCGGAUUUACUGGGCGUAAAGCGCGUGUAGGCGGCUUGGCAAGUCGGAUGUGAAAGCCCACGGCUCAACCGUGGAAGCGCAUCCGAAACGGCCUCGCUCGAGUCUCGGAGAGGAAGGUGGAAUGCUUGGUGUAGAGGUGAAAUUCGUAGAUAUCAAGCAGAACACCUGCGGCGAAGGCGGCUUUCUGGACGAUGACUGACGCUGAGACGCGAAAGCGUGGGGAGCAAACAGG
Molecule: ribosomal RNA, 253 nt
Filed under: uncultured bacterium
Lineage: Bacteria
Description: partial 16S ribosomal RNA
Rfam family: Bacterial small subunit ribosomal RNA
Source: RNAcentral